UUUUUUGUAUCCAAAGGUGGAAAUUGAGGUCAGAAUCGAAACAGAUACAUUAACUAAAUGAAGGGUUCAAGAAAUUUUGCCCUUUUUUCAACGGAAGUUAGAAUAAAUAUUCAUCUCUAUGAAGGAUGGACCUUUUUAGAGUCAGAAGAAACAGCUUUAAGUGCAGUUUUCAUUGAAGAAGAAGCUGAUUUUGCUGCAGCCUCAAUAUACUUAUUUGAAGUAAAAGUGGCUGCCUUUUCUAAUGAUUUGCUUGUUUUUCUUGCAAUCUUAGCUUCAUUCACCAAGCUGUCAUGCUCGGCCAUGGCCAUCCUAUUCAUUUCCUCCUCAAAAAGACGAUGUUCUUCCAUGGCACUUUCCAUUACAGAAUCCAAAUAGUCCUUAGUUUUCUUCAUGUAAUUUUCAGCUUCUUCUACUUCUUUUUCUUGCUCGAGCUCGACUCUAGCCCAAACCUUGUAAGCCUCUACUUCAAAGAGUCUGAUGAUAUUUU
Molecule: long non-coding RNA, 487 nt
Filed under: Olea europaea (common olive)
Lineage: Eukaryota; Viridiplantae; Streptophyta; Magnoliopsida; Lamiales; Oleaceae
Description: long non-coding RNA (OEUR_LNC001304)
Source: RNAcentral